This 584-nucleotide ribosomal RNA is filed under the name uncultured bacterium. RNAcentral's name for it is "partial 16S ribosomal RNA". It matches the Rfam family "Bacterial small subunit ribosomal RNA", at positions 355 to 1375 of the family's 1533-position model. The record is from RNAcentral.
UGGGGAAUUUUGGACAAUGGGCGAAAGCCUGAUCCAGCAAUGCCGCGUGUGUGAAGAGGGCCUUCGGGUUGUAAAGCACUUUUGUCCGGAAAGAAAUCCUUGGCUCUAAUACAGUCGGGGGAUGACGGUACCGGAAGAAUAAGCACCGGCUAACUACGUGCCAGCAGCCGCGGUAAUACGUAGGGUGCAAGCGUUAAUCGGAAUUACUGGGCGUAAAGCGUGCGCAGGCGGUUUGCUAAGACCGAUGUGAAAUCCCCGGGCUCAACCUGGGAACUGCAUUGGUGACUGGCAGGCUAGAGUAUGGCAGAGGGGGGUAGAAUUCCACGUGUAGCAGUGAAAUGCGUAGAGAUGUGGAGGAAUACCGAUGGCGAAGGCAGCCCCCUGGGCCAAUACUGACGCUCAUGCACGAAAGCGUGGGGAGCAAACAGGAUUAGAUACCCUGGUAGUCCACGCCCUAAACGAUGUCAACUAGUUGUUGGGGAUUCAUUCCUUAGUAACGUAGCUAACGCGUGAAGUUGACCGCCUGGGGAGUACGGUCGCAAGAUUAAAACUUAAAUGAAUUGACGGGGUCAUAGCUGUUUCCU